AGGAAAAGAAACUAACAAGGAUUCCCCUAGUAACGGCGAGUGAAGCGGGAAGAGCUCAAAUUUGAAAUCUGGUAGCCUUCGGUUGCCCGAGUUGUAAUCUAGAGAAGUGUUUUCCGUGCCGGCCCAUGUACAAGUCCCUUGGAACAGGGCGUCAUAGAGGGUGAGAAUCCCGUCCUUGACAUGGACCCCCGGUGCUUUGUGAUACACUUUCAACGAGUCGAGUUGUUUGGGAAUGCAGCUCAAAAUGGGUGGUGAAUUCCAUCUAAAGCUAAAUAUUGGCGAGAGACCGAUAGCGAACAAGUACCGUGAGGGAAAGAUGAAAAGCACUUUGGAAAGAGAGUUAAACAGUACGUGAAAUUGUUGAAAGGGAAACGAUUGAAGUCAGUCAUGCUCUUGGGACUUACCUCCCUUGAGUGGGGUCAACAUCAGUUUUGAUCGAUGGAUAAAGGCACGGGGAAGGUAGCACUCUCGGGUGAACUUAUAGCCUCGCGUCAUAUACAUUGAUUGGGACUGAGGAACGCAGCAUGCCUUAUGGCCGGGAUUCGUCCACGUACAUGCUUAG
This 562-nucleotide ribosomal RNA is filed under the name Naganishia albida. Its description in RNAcentral is "partial large subunit ribosomal RNA". It matches the Rfam family "Eukaryotic large subunit ribosomal RNA", at positions 54 to 604 of the family's 3401-position model. The record is from RNAcentral. Lineage: Eukaryota; Fungi; Basidiomycota; Tremellomycetes; Filobasidiales; Filobasidiaceae.